Long non-coding RNA from Setaria italica (foxtail millet), 909 nucleotides. RefSeq lists it as uncharacterized. Lineage: Eukaryota; Viridiplantae; Streptophyta; Magnoliopsida; Poales; Poaceae. The record is from RefSeq and is a predicted model, not a curated record. The transcript is spliced from 3 exons.
CGUCCGAUGCGUUCCCUUCUCUCUCAACCCUAACCUGCUCCUUCUCUCCUCGAGCCGCCGCCCGCCUUGCUGCUGCCACCUGCGCUUCGCCGUCCGGCGGCCGCCGCCCCGGCCGAGGAGCUCCACCGCCGGGCCCUGCGGCCGCGCGCCUCCGGUGGCGCUGCGGCCGCGUCACUGCCCCCGCCCCCACUCCUCCCCCGAUGCGCUGACGGAGCACGACGUGAGCAAGGAGGUCGGUCCUACUGCCACUGGUUUGGGCAGUAUUGUCCAAAUAUUUAAUUAGUGGUGACUUUGGCAACGGUCUGGGCGCGUUCGGCUCACCAGUUUUUGAAGUAGAUGGCUGGGUGGUAGGCAUCAGCAUCUCUGGUGUUCAAGAUAUGACAUAUGUUCUUUCAGUGGGGUGGAUAUGGGAGACACUGCUGAAGGCCGGGUGCAGGAUCAUCUGGAGGUAAAGGGUCGGGUGCACUACGGUGAUUGAUGAAGAAGCUGGAGGUGCGAUGGCCAACUUAAAGCUAUAAGAUGCGAGCAACUCGACGAGAUCAGGGAAAGCUCAAGAACGUGUGUGGUGAGCACAAACUGAUUGCUUCAAUUAAUUCAGGAAGCGGCAGCGGCAGCUAGCGGCAGUUCCUGGCCACACGUGUCUACGCCGGCGGGUUUCAACUAUUCCGACCUUGGAGACUGCUGCACCUCCCUAGUUGGUUUUACCUUACUCUGCUGCAUUCGUUUGUUUCACUAGGAACUCAUUUACUUUGUUUCGCUGAAAGUAAAAGGUGUGCAUAGCAUGCACGUCUGCUCUGCCAGUUCGACUGGAUGUAAAAGGUGUCUCUCGUCUCUGUGAGCGAGGCUGCCGACAGAUGUUAGGCAUCUAGGUCCCGUUUUCUUCGACUGACUUAUUUUUAGCACCCGUCA